Molecule: ribosomal RNA, 504 nt
Filed under: uncultured bacterium
Lineage: Bacteria
Description: partial 16S ribosomal RNA
Rfam family: Bacterial small subunit ribosomal RNA
Source: RNAcentral
AUUGAACGCUGGCGGCAGGCUUAACACAUGCAAGUCGAGCGGAGUGAUGGUGCUUGCACUAUCACUUAGCGGCGGACGGGUGAGUAAUGCUUAGGAAUCUGCCUAUUAGUGGGGGACAACAUCUCGAAAGGGAUGCUAAUACCGCAUACGUCCUACGGGAGAAAGCAGGGGAUCACUUGUGACCUUGCGCUAAUAGAUGAGCCUAAGUCGGAUUAGCUAGUUGGUGGGGUAAAGGCCUACCAAGGCGACGGUCUGUAGCGGGUCUGAGAGGAUGAUCCGCCACAAGGGGACUGAGACACGGCCCAGACUCCUACGGGAGGCAGCAGUGGGGAAUAUUGGACAAUGGGGGGAACCCUGAUCCAGCCAUGCCGCGUGUGUGAAGAAGGCCUUAUGGUUGUAAAGCACUUUAAGCGAGGAGGAGGCUCUUUUGGUUAAUACCCAAGAUGAGUGGACGUUACUCGCAGAAUAAGCACCGGCUAACUCUGUGCCAGCCGCCGCCGUUAA